GACGAACGCUGGCGGCGUGCUUAACACAUGCAAGUCGAACGGAAAGGCCCUGCUUUUGUGGGGUGCUCGAGUGGCGAACGGGUGAGUAACACGUGAGUAACCUGCCCUUGACUUUGGGAUAACUUCAGGAAACUGGGGCUAAUACCGGAUAGGAGCUCCUGCUGCAUGGUGGGGGUUGGAAAGUUUCGGCGGUUGGGGAUGGACUCGCGGCUUAUCAGCUUGUUGGUGGGGUAGUGGCUUACCAAGGCUUUGACGGGUAGCCGGCCUGAGAGGGUGACCGGCCACAUUGGGACUGAGAUACGGCGCAGACUCCUACGGGAGGCAGCAGUGGGGAGUAUUGCACAGUGGGCGGAAGCCUGAUGCAGCGACGCCGCGUGCGGGAUGACGGCCUUCGGGUUGUAAACCGCUUUCGCCUGUGACGAAGCGUGAGUGACGGUAAUGGGUAAAGAAGCACCGGCUAACUACGUG
Molecule: ribosomal RNA, 468 nt
Filed under: uncultured bacterium
Lineage: Bacteria
Description: partial 16S ribosomal RNA
Rfam family: Bacterial small subunit ribosomal RNA
Source: RNAcentral